UUUCACAAGGUGGAAGAGAUAUGUAAAUAGCUGUCGCUGGUGAUGUGUGCAUAAUUGAAAGGCAUAAAAUUAUUUUAAAAAGUUAACAGUGAUUAAGUUCUUAGAAAACACUGCAGAGGGAGAAAUAGUUGCAAAUGGCAGCUCCAAGUAUCUCAAAUUUUAACAUGCAAAUAGAACUCCAGGGGAUCUUAUGGAAGUAGACUCUGAUUUAGUAGAUUUGGAAUAGGACCUGAAUAAUUGCGUUUUUUUUUUUUUUUUUGGUCUUUUUAGGGCCACUCCUAGCCUGGGAACCUCCAUAUGCUGUGGGUGUGGCCCCAGAAAAGACAAAAAGAAAACAAACAAACAAACAAACAAACCCUGCCUCCAAGAAAACCUCCCGAAAGGAAUGUGGACAUUAUGCUUUAAUGUUUGAAAGACAGAUCUGGAGACUACCCUUAGCGGGUUCCUCCUCCCUCCUCUGAACUUUUCGAUGUUGCUUUUUGCCAUGGCAACAGUAGACUUUUGCCUUUUCCAAUGGAAAAAGCUAGAAGCAGUCCAAAUAAACAAAUACCAGCACCACAAGGAAACAAACCACACCAACCCCAAAUCUCACACUUAAUCACUCAGAAAAUAUCCUUCAUUAAGUUGACAAUGUUCAUGGAGCAUGGAAGUCGCACCCACAGUCUUCUUGCCUUGGUUUGGCUGUCGGACACUAUGAGCGUGGCUUGUUCCUUCUCCUUUUUGUCACCCAUGGCUUUGUAUCCCAGGGUAGAAGGUCAGAAAGAGGCUCAAGGGAAGGUUCUCCUUUGUCCUUCUGAGCCUGAGGGCCCGGUGAGCUUUUCAGAGUGGCGAGAAGGGCCUGGAAGACUACCUCACUGAGGGAUGUUUCCAUGCCUCCCACAAGUUCCUCUUCCUGUGAGUCCAUUUUCAGGAAAGGGCCUGCACAGAAUGUCUGUGUCUGAAGAGAGUUUGUCUAGGAGUCUUGAUGAGGCUUGGAGGGCUGAUGCUGGUGCUGCAGGUCCAGGAGAGGGCAUGUCUCUUAAUUUGCAUGUGCAGGCUGCAGAAUCACCCCUUGCCUGGGCUGUCCCCUGGCAAGGACAGCUUGGGCCCCUGGCCCCACCACUGUGGGGCCUGGGAGGUGCAUGGCUGAGCCAGAUGCUGCAGAGAGUUGUCAAGGCCAGGCUGAAGGGCAUCCUGGAGACUAUGUGCUGCCAUGGUAGUGUGCAGGUUGUUCUGGCAUGCUCCUCCCUGUGAUGGGGGCCAGAGAGCUGUGUGAAUAGGGUAGAGACCACCUCUGGGAAUGGGUCCCAUGGAAGAGUGACUCAGGACAGUUCCCAGAGGUAGGGUUUUCUCUUCCCUGCAGAGCCAGCCUGGGCUGGACCAGCAUAAACAUCAAUGGCUGGCCCCACAGCCCCCAGAGGGAACCCAGGCACAAAGAAGGCAAGGGAUAAAGGAGGAGCACCUUUGGCAAAGAAUGCAUGCCCUCAGGUGGAUCCGAGGGAGGAAAAGGAUGAGAGCCUUGUGGGGAGUGGAAGGAGGCUUUGGUUCAAGGGAGCCGUCAGGGCUGGUCUGGUAUCAGGGUCUCCUGUCAGGACAUCCACAAGCCUACCUGUGCUCUGCUCUGGGUGCCAAGCUCUUUGGUUCUGAAACCAUAUAUAGGAGGAGUUCUUAUUGUGGUGCAGUGGGAAUGAAUCUGACUAGCAUCCAUGAGGACACAGGUUAGAUCCCUGGCCUUACUCAGUGGGUCGGGGAUCCAGCAUUGCCGUGAGCUGUGG
RNAcentral lists this long non-coding RNA (1754 nucleotides) under Sus scrofa (pig). RNAcentral describes it as "lncRNA (ENSSSCG00065036853.1)". The record is from RNAcentral. Lineage: Eukaryota; Metazoa; Chordata; Mammalia; Artiodactyla; Suidae.